RNAcentral lists this ribosomal RNA (419 nucleotides) under uncultured bacterium. RNAcentral's name for it is "bacterial SSU rRNA". It matches the Rfam family "Bacterial small subunit ribosomal RNA", at positions 355 to 774 of the family's 1533-position model. The record is from RNAcentral.
UGAGGAAUAUUGCGCAAUGGAGGAAACUCUGACGCAGCGACGCCGCGUGAAGGAUGAAUGCCCUCUGGGUUGUAAACUUCUGUAGAGAGGGAAGAAUGUCCGCCUUCGGCGGAUUGACGGUACCUCUAAAGUAAGCAUCGGCUAACUACGUGCCAGCAGCCGCGGUAAUACGGAGGGUGCGAGCGUUGUUCGGAAUUACUGGGCGUAAAGCGCGUGCAGGCGGUCUCUUAAGUCUGGUGUGAAAGCCCGGGGCUCACCCCCGGAAGGGCACUGGAGACUGGGAGGCUAGAGUACCGGAGAGGAAGGUGGAAUUCCUGGUGUAGCGGUGAAAUGCGUAGAUAUCAGGAGGAACACCGGUGGCGAAGGCGGCCUUCUGGACGGCUACUGACGCUGAGACGCGAAAGCGUGGGGAGCAAACA